RNAcentral lists this ribosomal RNA (434 nucleotides) under uncultured bacterium. RNAcentral's name for it is "bacterial SSU rRNA". It matches the Rfam family "Bacterial small subunit ribosomal RNA", at positions 30 to 461 of the family's 1533-position model. The record is from RNAcentral.
AUUGAACGCUGGCGGCAGGCCUAACACAUGCAAGUCGAGCGGCAGCACGGGUACUUGUACCUGGUGGCGAGCGGCGGACGGGUGAGUAAUGCCUAGGAAUCUGCCUGGUAGUGGGGGGAUAACGUUCGGAAACGGACGCUAAUACCGCAUACGUCCUACGGGAGAAAGCAGGGGACCUUCGGGCCUUGCGCUAUCAGAUGAGCCUAGGUCGGAUUAGCUAGUUGGUGGGGUAANGGCUCACCAAGGCGACGAUCCGUAACUGGUCUGAGAGGAUGAUCAGUCACACUGGAACUGAGACACGGUCCAGACUCCUACGGGAGGCAGCAGUGGGGAAUAUUGGACAAUGGGCGAAAGCCUGAUCCAGCCAUGCCGCGUGUGUGAAGAAGGUCUUCGGAUUGUAAAGCACUUUAAGUUGGGAGGAAGGGCAGUUACCU